AACGCACAUUGCGCCCUUUGGUAUUCCGAAGGGCAUGCCUGUUCGAGCGUCAUUAUCACCCCUCAAGCCCCCCGGGUUUGGUGUUGGACGGCUUGGUGGAGACCCUUUUAUUCAGGGUCGCUACCCCUCCCAAAGACAAUGACGGCGGCUUCGUUGGACCCCCGGUACACUGAGUUCUUCACGGGACACGUACUGGAUUUAAAGGGUGCGCGGGGCACGGUCUACCUCCCCUAUAGGGAGAAUUAUCUCAAGGUUGACCUCGGAUCAGGUAGGGAUACCCGCUGAACUUAA
This 291-nucleotide unclassified non-coding RNA is filed under the name uncultured fungus. Its description in RNAcentral is "partial contains 5.8S ribosomal RNA, internal transcribed spacer 2, and large subunit ribosomal RNA". The stretch from base 1 to 52 matches the Rfam family "5.8S ribosomal RNA", at positions 103 to 154 of the family's 154-position model. Lineage: Eukaryota; Fungi. The record is from RNAcentral.